UUUUUUUUUUUUUUUUUUUUUUUUUGUCUUUUUGCCAUUUCUAGGGCCGCUCCUGUGGCAUAUGGAGGUUCUGAGGCUAGGCGUCGAAUUGGAGCUGUAGCCGCCAGCCUACACCAGAGCCACAGCAACGCGGGAUCCGAGCCACGGCUGCGACCUACACCACAGCUCACGGCAACGCCGGAUCGUUAACCCACUGAGCAAGGGCAGGGACCGAACCCGCAACCUCAUGGUUCCUAGUCGGAUUCGUUAACCACUGNUCCACGAUGGGAACUCCGGUACCCUUAUCUUAAGCAGAGGAACUAGAGUUAGCAGUUUCAGACUAGAUUGACUGAAAUGUACUUUUCUUAUAAAACACUAAUUUUUUAAAAGUCACCCAUAUAAUCUAACAUCUAACUUUUUCCUUUGAAUAGUCAAUACUCUAUUUAAUUAAGUGUCAAAACAAACUUCUAAGUACCAAAGGCAGGUUCUCUGGGCACAUAUGAACUAUUAGCAGACCAUUGUCUGCUAACAAGUGCUAAUUAGCUUGUUAACACUUCCCUGUUACUCUUUGGGAUGCUUUUAAUUAUUUUUCGGCCUAAAUAAAUCCAGAAGGUCAGAAGUUCCUAGUUUUGCCUUGUCUUUCUUAUAAAUUUGGAAAAGUUGCUGUACCUUCUCUGCCAUAAACUACCAAAUGGGAGUGACAGUCUGUUGGCUACUCAGCUCCCCAUGCUCCUUGUGGUGAUGAAGAUUUAGGGCCUUAGACUGUGUGCUUCCCAGGCCCCCAACACUCCGGUCACAUGGUGUCCCUGAAUUUAGUGCUACUUGAAUUCAGAGGUGUCUCUUUGAUGUUAACUCUUAAGACUCCAGCAACCUUAACUCAUGCCCUGCAGUGGAUGAAUGUUUGUGCUUUCCCAAAGCUCAUGUGUUGAAAUCCUAGCCUAUUGUGAUGGUAUUUGGAGGUGGGGCCUUUGGGAGAUAAUUAGGUCACGAGGGUGGAUCCCUCUCGAAUGGGAUUAGUGCCCUUAUAAAAAAGACCCUGGAUGACUCUCUUGCCCUCUUUCCACCUCUGGAGGACACAGUGGGAAUUCUGCACCAUGGAAAAGGAUCCUCUCCAGAGCUCGACCAUGCUGGCACCCUGAUCUCAGAAGUCCAACCUCCAGAACUGUAGGAAAUAAGUAACUGUUGCUUAUUAGGCAGCCAGCCUGUGGCACUAUGUCACAGCAGCCUGACUGAUGAAGACCAUUGCCUGGAGGCAGAUGUUCACCUGCUUGGGGCCUGCCUGCUCAGAACAGCUCUCACACCUUACCUGGAUAUCUCAAGGGAAGUGGGAAGUGGCUCUUGUCCAUGAAAUGCUUGGGAAAUUCUUGACCCACCUGCUUCUUAGCUUGAGGAAAAUCAUGAAAAGCAAACAUUUCAUUUUUAAGAUGGGAAAAUUUACUCCCUUAACAAUGGGGUGAAAGCAAUGACUGUCUUUUGCUGUUAUUAGUUUUGUGGAGUCUGAGUGGGAUGUUGCAGAGAAUAGUGACCUGGAAACGGGGAAUCUGGGUCUUGUCCUCUUUGUCUGUUACUGGCAGUGUGACAUUCCUGUCACCUUUCUUAGCCACAGUUUUUUCACUAGGUGACCACCUCUCCCAUUCCUUCUAAUCCCACCAUUUUAGGACUCUCUGUUUCUAUUUUUGCUGGUCUUUUCUGGGGAGGAUUUAAAAAUGAAUUUGCUCAAGUUCUGCCCCAUUCUGUCUAUUAAAUUCCAAGGAUUCAAUGACAAGUUGUGAUGUGCUACAAACUGGCACUGAUUUGUAGUAGAUGCCAAUUUCUGUGGUGUAAAUAAUCUCACUCUGGCUGAUUUCCAGCUAGCAAGGUGACAUCAAUCUGCUCACACAAUAUUUGAAAAUUCAACAACCAGCUCUUAUGGGCUGUACAUCAUUGUGAACAAGCCUCCUUGUCCAUUAUUCUGAGAGGAGCAAGACUUAAACAGUAAGGGGGCAGAGAGGCUCACUUAUGAACUUGGCUCUAUGCCUGGCUAUUGGGAAAAGUCAGUGUGGGCAUCAGAAAAUUGUAGAAGAUCAGCAUUGAAAUGUGUGGUCACACACUGAAAAUGGGGCUUCAGCCGGAAGGUCAUCAUGCCUUUAUGCUUGUAGAAGGACACACAGUGACACUCGGGAAUUGGAUGGCCAAUUAAAAUUGUUCCCAGUGGAGAGAGUCUUUUCCCAAGUGCCAGGUGAAAGAAAGUUUGGGAAUCAGGUGGGGCUGGAUAUUAUGUUUCAUGGAGUCUCUCUUAUCUUGCCUUUCCCUUGGUAACUAAAAUCAACUUUUUAUUCUGAGCCGGCAUUUGUUUUCCUAGAGAUAUCCAUUCCUUCCUUGUCGCUAUUUCAUGAAGGUGCUGGUGCUCUAAUUUUACUGUCUUUGUUAAAUUAGUUUCAGAACAUGCUUAGGGAGUUACUCAUAUUUCCCUCUUAUUAAAAUGUAACUAAAAGCACAACGGAGGCCUUGGUUCUAAUUCUGCAACUUGUGAGUUACACUGAGAACAAUCUUGUCCCCUGGUCAUGGAGUGUGUGAUGUUUCACUGUAAGAACUUGAAGUAGAAAGGAUGUUCCAUACAUAUUCCAUCUCCUAAAGGGGACCCCGUGUCAGAUGGGGCCCUGUCCUCAGCAAACCAGAGCUUAGCAGACCCAUAAUGUCAAGUGACAGCUCAGUGUGGGGGUUUCUUCAUAACCUAGUGGUUAAGGAUUCAGUGUUGUCAUUGCUGUGGCUCGGGUUACUGCUGUGGCUUGGAUUUGAUUCCUGGCCUGGGAACUUCCACAUGUUGCAGGAGGGCUUAAAAAAAAAAAAAAAAAA
Molecule: long non-coding RNA, 2814 nt
Filed under: Sus scrofa (pig)
Lineage: Eukaryota; Metazoa; Chordata; Mammalia; Artiodactyla; Suidae
Description: lncRNA (ENSSSCG00035011637.1)
Source: RNAcentral